Molecule: long non-coding RNA, 215 nt
Filed under: Elaeis guineensis (African oil palm)
Lineage: Eukaryota; Viridiplantae; Streptophyta; Magnoliopsida; Arecales; Arecaceae
Description: long non-coding RNA (EGUI_LNC072939)
Source: RNAcentral
AUAUAACAUAGCAAUAUAUCAAAAUCAACUUAGUAAAAUAACGAAAUCUUAUAUCCAAUAUGCUAACUUUCGUAGUUGCUUAUAAAAGUAUUCACAUUUUGUUUUGGAUAAAUAAUUAAGUUGUCCACAUAGUUGGUCCACAUAGACAACGUAAGAAACAAUAUCCAACCCAAAAUAUUUGCACAUCUCAAAAUACAAAAAUAUAAUGCAUACCA